GGGAAUGUGGCUCAGUGGUAGAGUGCUUGCCCAGCAUGCAGGAAGCCCUGGGUUCGAAUCCUCAGCACCA
This 70-nucleotide transfer RNA is filed under the name Dipodomys ordii (Ord's kangaroo rat). It matches the Rfam family "tRNA". From Rfam's summary of the family: Transfer RNA (tRNA) molecules are approximately 80 nucleotides in length. Lineage: Eukaryota; Metazoa; Chordata; Mammalia; Rodentia; Heteromyidae. The record is from Rfam by way of RNAcentral.